Non-coding RNA from Peromyscus maniculatus bairdii (prairie deer mouse), 256 nucleotides. The record is from RefSeq and is a predicted model, not a curated record. NCBI's taxonomy places the organism in Eukaryota, Metazoa, Chordata, Mammalia, Rodentia, Cricetidae.
CCCACCUGCCCCUGCCUGCUGAGUGCUCCACCUGACCCUGCCUGCUGAGUGCCCCACCUGCCCCUGACUGCUGAGUGCUCCACCUGACCCUGCCUGCUGAGUGCUCCACCUGACCCUGCCUGCUGACCCUUCCAAUGGCCCCAUCUGUUGGGAGAAGUGAGAAGAGCAAGAGAGAAUGAGAUACUCUGUCUAUUAGGAAGAAAGCAGAAAGCGCUGUUUCUAUUUCUAAAAAAAAAAAAAAAAAAAAAAAAAAAGA